CCUACGGGGGGCUGCAGUGAGGAAUAGUGGUCAAUGGACGAGAGUCUGAACCAGCCAAGUAGCGUGAAGGAUGACUGCCCUAUGGGUUGUAAACUUCUUUUAUAGGGGAAUAAAAUGUUCCACGUGUGGGAUUUUGUAUGUACCAUAUGAAUAAGGAUCGGCUAACUCCGUGCCAGCAGCCGCGGUAAUACGGAGGAUCCGAGCGUUAUCCGGAUUGAUUGGGGUUAAAGGGAGCGUAGGGGGAUUGUUAAGUCAGUUGUGAAAGUUUGCGGCUCAACCGUAAAAUUGCAGUUGAAACGGGCAGUCUUGAGUACAGUAGCGGUGGGCGGCAUUCGUGGUGUAGCGGUGUCAUGCU
RNAcentral lists this ribosomal RNA (355 nucleotides) under uncultured bacterium. RNAcentral's name for it is "partial 16S ribosomal RNA". It matches the Rfam family "Bacterial small subunit ribosomal RNA", at positions 338 to 690 of the family's 1533-position model. The record is from RNAcentral.